AAUGAACGCUGGCGGCAUGCCUAACACAUGCAAGUCGAGCGACAACAUGGGGAGAUCGUGCCCUUGAGGGUGGCGAGGGACGGACGGGUGACACGUGCAUCGCCUACCUCUUAGACUUGGGGAAUAACGUGGGACAAGUGCUACUACCGGAUCAUAUAUCGAACCGCAUUGUGCAAUAGUGCAUGACGGUUUUGGUGUCUGUUAUAGACGAUUUGGCGCCGGAUGAUCUAGUUGGUAAGGUAACGGCUUAGCAAGGCUACGAUGCGUAGCCGACCUGAGAGGGUGAUCAGCCACACUGGAACUGAGACACGGUCCAGACUCCUACGGGAGGCAGCAGUGGGGAAUCUUCCGCAAAGGGCGAAAGCCUGAUCGAGCAACACCGCGUGAGUGAUGAAGGCCUUCGGGUCGUAAAGCUCUGUUGUUGGGAAAGAAAAAAAGCAGAUUCAACUAUGCACGUCCUGACGGUACCUAAAGAAAAAGCCCCGGCUAACUCCGUG
Molecule: ribosomal RNA, 497 nt
Filed under: uncultured bacterium
Lineage: Bacteria
Description: partial 16S ribosomal RNA
Rfam family: Bacterial small subunit ribosomal RNA
Source: RNAcentral